GUCCCGUAACGACGCGCAACCCUUGUCCUUAGUUACCAGCACGGUUAUGGUGGGCACUCUAAGGAGACUGCCGGUGACAAACCGGAGGAAGGUGGGGAUGACGUCAAGUCAUCAUGGCCCUUACGGCCUGGGCUACACACGUGCUACAAUGGUCGGUACAAAGGGUUGCCAAGCCGCGAGGUGGAGCUAAUCCCAUAAAACCGAUCGUAGUCCGGAUCGCAGUCUGCAACUCGACUGCGUGAAGUCGGAAUCGCUAGUAAUCGUGAAUCAGAAUGUCACGGUGAAUACGUUCCCGGGCCUU
RNAcentral lists this ribosomal RNA (301 nucleotides) under uncultured Pseudomonas sp. Its description in RNAcentral is "bacterial SSU rRNA". It matches the Rfam family "Bacterial small subunit ribosomal RNA", at positions 1084 to 1382 of the family's 1533-position model. The record is from RNAcentral. Lineage: Bacteria; Pseudomonadati; Pseudomonadota; Gammaproteobacteria; Pseudomonadales; Pseudomonadaceae.